This 466-nucleotide ribosomal RNA is filed under the name Vreelandella stevensii. RNAcentral describes it as "partial 16S ribosomal RNA". It matches the Rfam family "Bacterial small subunit ribosomal RNA", at positions 338 to 795 of the family's 1533-position model. Lineage: Bacteria; Pseudomonadati; Pseudomonadota; Gammaproteobacteria; Oceanospirillales; Halomonadaceae. The record is from RNAcentral.
CCUACGGGUGGCUGCAGUGGGGAAUAUUGGACAAUGGGCGAAAGCCUGAUCCAGCCAUGCCGCGUGUGUGAAGAAGGCCUUCGGGUUGUAAAGCACUUUCAGUGGGGAAGAAAGCCUUGGGGCUAAUACCCUCGAGGAAGGACAUCACCCACAGAAGAAGCACCGGCUAACUCCGUGCCAGCAGCCGCGGUAAUACGGAGGGUGCGAGCGUUAAUCGGAAUUACUGGGCGUAAAGCGCGCGUAGGCGGUCUGAUAAGCCGGUUGUGAAAGCCCCGGGCUCAACCUGGGAACGGCAUCCGGAACUGUCAGGCUAGAGUGCAGGAGAGGAAGGUAGAAUUCCCGGUGUAGCGGUGAAAUGCGUAGAGAUCGGGAGGAAUACCAGUGGCGAAGGCGGCCUUCUGGACUGACACUGACGCUGAGGUGCGAAAGCGUGGGUAGCAAACAGGAUUAGAUACCCCUAGUAGUC